This 429-nucleotide ribosomal RNA is filed under the name uncultured Acidobacteriota bacterium. RNAcentral's name for it is "bacterial SSU rRNA". It matches the Rfam family "Bacterial small subunit ribosomal RNA", at positions 355 to 776 of the family's 1533-position model. Lineage: Bacteria; Pseudomonadati; Acidobacteriota. The record is from RNAcentral.
UGGGGAAUUUUGCGCAAUGGGCGAAAGCCUGACGCAGCAACGCCGCGUGGAGGAUGAAGGUCUUUGGAUCGUAAACUCCUGUCAGCAGGGAAAAAGCAAGGGGACCUCAUACGUUCCUGAGUUGAUUGUACCUGCAGAGGAAGCCCCGGCUAACUCUGUGCCAGCAGCCGCGGUAAUACAGAGGGGGCAAGCGUUAUUCGGAAUUAUUGGGCGUAAAGGGCGCGUAGGCGGCUUUGCAAGUGACGGGUGAAAGCCCUCGGCUUAACCGAGGAACUGCCCGUCAGACUGCAUGGCUUGAGACCGGGAGAGGUGAGUGGAAUUCCCAGUGUAGCGGUGAAAUGCGUAGAUAUUGGGAGGAACACCAGUGGCGAAGGCGGCUCACUGGACCGGAACUGACGCUGAGGCGCGAAAGCGUGGGGAGCAAACAGG